AAAUAACAAGGCGUGAGAUAUAUAUUGCGAGGUACUGUAUAGAGAAAGUGCUUCGGCUACCCGGACAGCUCCAAGGAUUGCUGUCAGUCUUGUGCUCCAGGAACCAGGCCAAUUCAGUCGUCAGUGGAGGGUGCCGUGCCUGGCCCUCGUUCCCUAUGGACACCACCGGAGCCGGGAUGGCUGAAGCUCAACUCCGAUGCGAGUUUUGUUGAGCAGACGAGGGAGGCGUGGUGGGGCGGGGUUCUUAGAGACUCGCUCGGCAGUAUUGUUGCGUCUGUCUGGGUCGUAUUGACGGAUGCAAUUCAGCUCUGGAGGUUGAAGCCUGCAAGCGUGGUAUGGAGGUGUUGUUUCGCAACCCUGCUGAGAAGUUGUGCCUGAAAAUGAACUGUAAGGAGCUUCUGGCUGGUUUGACCUUGGAUAAGGGCGACCGCUCGGCGUCUUGUUUCCUCCUACAGGAAAUUAAGGGUUUACUUCGUAACUGCUACGAUUUUAAGAUUGGAUGGAUUGGUCGUGAUGGAAAUCGGAUGGCCCAUGACCUGGCUAGCUUUGCUAGAAUUUCCGAAACCUCUGACUUACUUGUUGGUUCCAUUCCCGGGCCUGUCCGGGAGUUAAACCCUAUGCUCUGUAAUCCCGUCACUAUGUCUAGUUGAUCGAUUGUUUACCCUAAAAAAAGAGAAAGUGGGGAAGACAAAAGUAAAGGAGAACGGACUAUGUGACCAACCUGCUACUGUCAUUUAGCAUGUGCACAUAUGUGUCAAUUACAAUUAAUGUGUGUAGCUAAUUAGUAUAAGACCGAUCUGAUAUUUAAGUCAUCGUUACUUUGACGCACUGCGCUACGUUAGGAAUGUCCUUUAACAAGAAUAAAGGUGAUGGAUUGUCAUUUUUGUUCCUUUUUUUUUUGACUCGUGAACGAUUCGGGUGUUAGUUCAGCAGUCAGCAAAUUUCAUCAUUGCUAAUUGAGUGCAUCUAUUCCUCGUAUGUUCUUUGCCCACUAUCCGAACCUGGAUUUUUAACACCUAGUGGGAUGUCGAACUAACGUGUAAAAUGCAAUUCUAUUUAAAUGUUAUACUCCUCUGAUUUGGUGUUAUUUGUACAAGCCCGAGAUUUUUCUAUUGCACAUAAUGUUAAUAAAUAAAACUCUCUAACUAAAACAUGUAAUGAUACCUAAUCUACAAAACAGUAAAUAACUAUACAUUUGGUUAGGUACUCAUAAAAGAAUAACAAAUCAUUGAACACUUCCAAAUAUAAGACAUCUAAAUUGCAUACAAAAUGAAUUUAUUAUAAAAAUAUAAUUUCAUUAUACAAAUCUAGCCGUGCAAUCUGCACGGGUUACCUCCCGCUAGUUUAUUAUGAAUCGAAGGGAGUAGUAAAAUGCACAUUUCAUGCUGUGGUUCUGCGGUUCAUGGCGAUUGUUUUUUAGCGGAAAAGUACUUGGAAAUCUAGAAGAAAAAAAACUGCUACUAAGACCUGUGAGUCCCUUUUCUUAAAGAUGUUCACCAUAUAUAUAUUCUUUGUUAGUAAAUCGCCCCUUCGACAUUCAUGCCCAGUAUCUGUGCUCACGAUCGAACCAAAACAAGCGGGUCAAAAAGUAAUCGACUUUUCAAGAAAAGAAACACGACUUCAAAAUUCCACCAUAAAAAGAAAACAUAGUACUACUGCUGGUGCAAAAAUAAAUAAGUAAAGAAAACAUAGUACUCACCUGCAGACAAUAUAUGACAUCAUGUCAUGUCAGUUUCCCCGGCCUCACAUAUACUCUAGAUGUUAUAGCACGCGGCUCCAUCGUUCAC
RNAcentral lists this long non-coding RNA (1787 nucleotides) under Brachypodium distachyon (stiff brome). RNAcentral's name for it is "long non-coding RNA (BDIS_LNC002585)". Lineage: Eukaryota; Viridiplantae; Streptophyta; Magnoliopsida; Poales; Poaceae. The record is from RNAcentral.